RNAcentral lists this signal recognition particle RNA (88 nucleotides) under Fructobacillus pseudoficulneus. RNAcentral's name for it is "Bacterial small signal recognition particle RNA". It matches the Rfam family "Bacterial small signal recognition particle RNA". From Rfam's summary of the family: The signal recognition particle (SRP) is a universally conserved ribonucleoprotein involved in the co-translational targeting of proteins to membranes. Archaeal SRP consists of a 7S RNA and homologues of the eukaryotic SRP19 and SRP54 proteins. The record is from RNAcentral. Lineage: Bacteria; Bacillati; Bacillota; Bacilli; Lactobacillales; Lactobacillaceae.
AAUUGCAGGCAAGGGUUGCCUUUCGAACCGAGUCAGGACAGAAAUGUAGCAGCUCUAAGAUUGAUUGACCUUGUGCUUGUGUACAUAG